This 159-nucleotide ribosomal RNA is filed under the name Llerasia caucana. Its description in RNAcentral is "5.8S ribosomal RNA". It matches the Rfam family "5.8S ribosomal RNA". From Rfam's summary of the family: 5.8S ribosomal RNA (5.8S rRNA) is a component of the large subunit of the eukaryotic ribosome. It is transcribed by RNA polymerase I as part of the 45S precursor that also contains 18S and 28S rRNA. The record is from RNAcentral. Lineage: Eukaryota; Viridiplantae; Streptophyta; Magnoliopsida; Asterales; Asteraceae.
GACUCUCGGCAACGGAUAUCUCGGCUCACGCAUCGAUGAAGAACGUAGCAAAAUGCGAUACUUGGUGUGAAUUGCAGAAUCCCGUGAACCAUCGAGUUUUUGAACGCAAGUUGCGCCCAAAGCCAUCCGGCCGAGGGCACGUCUGCCUGGGCGUCACGC